GUUUUCGUAGCUUAAUUUAUUUAAAAGCACGGCCCUGAAGUUGCCGCGAUGGAUUAACAACAUUCCCAAAAACA
RNAcentral lists this transfer RNA (74 nucleotides) under Coleonyx mitratus. Its description in RNAcentral is "tRNA-Phe". Lineage: Eukaryota; Metazoa; Chordata; Lepidosauria; Squamata; Eublepharidae. The record is from RNAcentral.